AAAACUAGAAAAAAAAGUUCCACUCUACUGGACAAAUAGCUCGGUAGAUGAGACCAGUGACAAUCACACAUAUAUAGUUCGCACAACACUCCAACACUCUUCCACUUUAAACAGAUAAAACUUACUCUCAAAACUCACUCUUCGACUCAAAACUCAGACUCAAAUUAUCCCUUUUCUCUCCUUUCUCCGAUGUCUUUGUUGAGGAACCCUCUCCCCUUUUAUAAGCGUAUGACGGACUUCAAAUUAUUAUUUUAGGUCUGUAAAGCAAAAGUAAGUCUUCACAUACUGAGGUGACUAAAGGUGUCGGUGGCAGAUGCUCUUUGUCGGUGAACAAUGUUUUGAGCUGACUAAAGGUGUCGAUGGUAGAUGCUCCUUGUCG
Molecule: long non-coding RNA, 379 nt
Filed under: Amborella trichopoda
Lineage: Eukaryota; Viridiplantae; Streptophyta; Magnoliopsida; Amborellales; Amborellaceae
Description: long non-coding RNA (ATRI_LNC005281)
Source: RNAcentral